GGAUCGAUAGCUCAGUGGUAUGAGCGAGGGAUUGCAGAUCCCUAGGUCGCGUUGUUCGAUCCACGCUCGGUCCU
This 74-nucleotide transfer RNA is filed under the name Fusarium proliferatum. It matches the Rfam family "tRNA". From Rfam's summary of the family: Transfer RNA (tRNA) molecules are approximately 80 nucleotides in length. Lineage: Eukaryota; Fungi; Ascomycota; Sordariomycetes; Hypocreales; Nectriaceae. The record is from RNAcentral.